Molecule: long non-coding RNA, 760 nt
Organism: Micropterus dolomieu (smallmouth bass)
Lineage: Eukaryota; Metazoa; Chordata; Actinopteri; Centrarchiformes; Centrarchidae
Exons: 3
Source: RefSeq, a predicted model, not a curated record
GUCACCUUGUUUUGUUUGUCUGAACAGCACAGCUGAAGUCGGGACUUCUGGAGAGCUACGUGUAGUCACAGAGGUUAAGCUAGCUGCUACCGAAUGGUAAGUUUUCCAUAUAACGGUGUAGACAGGCAGUUUGAAGGCCACUGCAGUGACCCUGGCACUGCACCAACCUCGAGGUUUUUCCCCGAGGCUUCUGCUUUCGCAUCAGGCCCACCAUCCUCCGCUCAUGACCCCCAUCACCUACCCUGAGGAGACACUUGCCAGGUGAAAAAAGCACGUAACAGGAAUUUGAAGGACCAGGUCGACUGUAUGUGCGCUCCCCCGAGCAAGGUUGUGUUUGUCUGAUAUGUCCGUCCUUUUCGCUCAUUUUGUAAAUACAAGGAAGGUUAUUUUCUUCCAACUCAACCAGGAACAGGGAUGCACUAGCUGAUACAUAACUAGCAGAAUGGAGUUGCUUUUAAUGAGAUUUUACUGCCUAGUCCUAUUAAGUUAACUUCGGCUGUUUUCAGAGAGUGAGGAAACAGGUAUCCUUGUUUUAGUAACCUUAGGAGACAUUUUUACACUGUUUACAAGGGAACAUAUUUUGUAAACAGAACACAUUAACACAUUUAGUUAAUGUAAAAGAAAUACCAAGACUCUAUUAACUUUAAAGGCCCUUCGGUUGGAAAAAAUAUGAUGUCACAUGCUUCAAUGCACCAAUCAGGAUUUAGUUUUUGAGUGUGAAAAUCAUAAUAAAUAAUAAAGGACUUUUAAUUCUAGCUUA